This 752-nucleotide ribosomal RNA is filed under the name uncultured Bacteroidota bacterium. RNAcentral's name for it is "bacterial SSU rRNA". It matches the Rfam family "Bacterial small subunit ribosomal RNA", at positions 55 to 811 of the family's 1533-position model. Lineage: Bacteria; Pseudomonadati; Bacteroidota. The record is from RNAcentral.
AUGCAGUCGAGGGGUUACAUGNACUCGGUUUGAUGACGACCGGCGAACGGGUGAGUAACGCGUACACAACCUACCUUCANNGAGAUANCCUGGGAAACUGGGAGUAAUACUCCAUAGUAUUACUUAAUUUAUGAUAAAGUAAUUAAAGUUUAGGCGCUUGAAGAUGGGUGUGCGUCCCAUUAGCUAGUUGGUGAGGUAACGGCUCACCAAGGCGACGAUGGGUAGGGGGCGUGAGAGCGUGGUCCCCCACACGGGUACUGAGACACGGACCCGACUCCUACGGGAGGCAGCAGUAAGGAAUAUUGGACAAUGGGCGAAAGCCUGAUCCAGCCAUCCCGCGUGCAGGAUGAAUGCCCUAUGGGUUGUAAACUGCUUUUAGAUAGGAAGAAACCCUUGGAUUUAUCCGAGGCUGACGGUACUAUCAGAAUAAGCACCGGCUAACUCCGUGCCAGCAGCCGCGGUAAUACGGAGGGUGCAAGCGUUAUCCGGAAUCACUGGGUUUAAAGGGUGCGUAGGCGGAUAUAUAAGUCAGAGGUGAAAUCCUCCCGCUCAACGGGAGAAUUGCCUUUGAUACUGUUUAUCUUGAAUAAGGUUGAGGUUAGCGGAAUGUGACAUGUAGCGGUGAAAUGCAUAGAUAUGUCAUAGAACACCAAUUGCGUAGGCAGCUAGCUAGGCCUUUAUUGACGCUGAGGCACGAAAGCAUGGGGAGCGAACAGGAUUAGAUACCCUGGUAGUCCAUGCCCUAAACGAUG